Molecule: ribosomal RNA, 439 nt
Filed under: uncultured bacterium
Lineage: Bacteria
Description: partial 16S ribosomal RNA
Rfam family: Bacterial small subunit ribosomal RNA
Source: RNAcentral
CUACGGGGUGCACCAGUGAGGAAUAUUGCACAAUGGAGGAAACUCUGAUGCAGCAACGCCGCGUGGAGGAUGACGCAUUUCGGUGUGUAAACUCCUUUUAUAUGUCAAGAAAAUGACGGUAGCAUAUGAAUAAGCUCCGGCUAACUCCGUGCCAGCAGCCGCGGUAAUACGGAGGGAGCAAGCGUUACUCGGAAUCACUGGGCGUAAAGGACGCGUAGGCGGGAUAGAAAGUCAGGUGUGAAAUCCUAUGGCUCAACCAUAGAACUGCACUUGAAACUUCUAACCUAGAGUAUGGGAGGGGAAGAUGGAAUUAGUGGUGUAGGGGUAAAAUCCGUAGAUAUCACUAGGAAUACCAAAAGCGAAGGCGAUCUUCUGGAACAAUACUGACGCUAAGGCGUGAAAGCGUGGGGAGCAAACAGGAUUAGAUACCCUAGUAGUC